UGCCGUUCUGAGACACCAGCACAGGGGCCUUUGUUUGCUAUCCCAACAGAUUUUUUUUCUUUCUUUUCUCUGAGCAGUUCAACAAAAAAAAAAAAAAGAAAGAAAAGAAAAGAAAAGAAACCAAAAAUACCUCCACAGGGACAAUCCACAAAGAAAUGAUGACUUCCCAGCUUUGCAGAAGUUGUGUUUUAGAAAGCAAAUUUCAUCUUACUUGAAUCCUGGGAGAAAGGCAGUUAAUGCCUCAAUGAUUAGCAACUGCUGAGACUCAAAACUCCAUGUCAGUGAGGACAAAAAGCCUAUGAAGCAUAUGCUCAUUUGCACCAGAUGAUACAGCUUAUUCACAGAAGAAAACAGCAAAUUAGUAUAUUGUUGAUACUUGGAGUAUCGUAUUGUGGUACUGAGGAUUAAACCCAUAGCCUCAGCAUUGAGCUAUAUCCUCAGCCACCUCCCUUUAAUCUGAGAUAGGGUGUCACUAUCUAAACCACUAAAUUACCAGGCUGGGUUAGAAUUUGUGAUCCUUCUUCCUCAGCUUCCCAGAAGCUGGGAUUCCAGCUAUGGACCACCACACCCAACUGUACUUAGGAUGUCUUGAGACCACAACAAAUAGAUAAAGUAAAAGCUUCUUGGUUUAUAAAACCAAGUCAAUAUUCAAAAAGGACCAAAGACAAUGAAACAGGCAAAAAGAUAAAAAGUAUUUGUGCCCAAGAAUUUUCCAGAAAAUUGUGAAGGAUUUUCACAUUUUAAAAGACCAGUCAAAUUCAUCUCAGAAGAAAAUAAACAUAAAUUAGAGGAUUAUAUUUAAUUCUAAAGCAUAGUGGAGGGUAUUAGAUGGCUUUGUAAACACUGAAAACUUUACUACAGUUUAAAUCCCUCAAAUGAAUUGGAAAUAUUUUCUUUUAAUGGGAAAGAACAAUAGGUGUGGUUUGCAACAAAUAACUACACCCCUUGGAAAAAGUUUUUCAUGUGGUAGAGGAAGAAUGGAAAAGGUGUGGAGUUCACCUUGUCCUGGACCCCUGCCUUCCUUUCCCAUCUUGGAGUCGGCAGGGCCUCUCCCUUUUCUGGAGGUCUUUCUCUUGAAUUCCAGCACCAGGAAAGUCCAUUUCUUUGUGUCUGGCAGUCAUGAUAGAUUUCAUCAGCCAAUCACUGUUUCAUUGGGUUCCACUGGUGAUGUGAGAGACAGGAAAAGAGAGAGAGAAAAUAAGUACUCUUCAGCAUAGCCAGAGUUAAUCAAUCCUUACAAAAGCAAAAGAUACAGCCUUGAGAUCACAAAUAUCAUUUGGAUAUCAUUCCUAAUAGUGCAUCUCCUUUCUAGUCUUUAGCCCCCACUCUGUUACCUUGCCUUAGUUAGAAAGCAAAUUUUGUGAGAGAUAAUGGAGACGGGGGAAAGUCUAUACUUGAAAUGAAAAUUUCUUUCCCAUAUGUAUUAGUUCAUUUCCCGUUACUGUGAUGAAAUAGCUGGAUAAUGCACAAUGAAAAGAGAUUUAUGCAGCUCACAGUCUUGGAAACUGAAAAUCCAAGAUCAGACGGCCCCAUGUGAUCAGCCCUUGGUGAGGAGCUCAUGGUGCAUGGCUUCAUGGCAAGAGUAAGUGUGGGAAUGAGAGGUCACAGUGAGAUGGGAAGCAAGGGCAGAGGAGAGUCGGACGUGUGUGCUUGCAACAACCUUCUCUCAAGAACUGACUGGGUUCCCUUGAGAACUGUUUCAUGCCUUCUAUGGGUAGUUCCCUGAUAACCUGACUCUUAAAAGUCCUUCUCCACACAGGCAACCAAGCCUGCAACCCAUGAACCCUGGGGACAACUCACACCAUGUCCAAACCAUAGAACCAUGAAGUUUUGUUUGUAUGAACAACUCAAUUUAGGACUCUUAUUUUGGACCCGUAGAACUUUCAAUAAUUUAUAAUAAAUACCCUAAAGAAAAAAAAAACUUUGCUGAAACUCAAAAUCUGCCACAGUUACCUUGUACUUGCAAAAUAAAGAGGUCACGUACAGAUGGGUUUCAAGGGCAAGUUAAAAUUUUAAGAUGUAUUUAUCUAAAUUCAUUUGAUAUCUUCCUAUGUACUAAAAGAAUAAUCAAUCCUUCUCACUUGGAAGCCACAGGGAAUCAAGGGAAGCAGGAAAAUGCUCUUGUUUUUGGCCAUGUGUAGCCAUAUAGCAAUGUUCCCUCUGUCUGUCCCUAAUCCCUCCUAUAUGCAUUGGAGGCAAUGAGAAAGACUGGAAACUAAUAUGAUUGUAUUGGUUUAUGCUACCAAAAGUGACUCCUGACUUCUGCUUUUCCCAGUGGCUAACAGAUAGAAGAGUGUUUUUCCACAAGUGUGGAGAAAACCUACAACUGAAUUAUAGUGAAGACGUAGUAAGGCUUGGGGGCUUCAUACAGAUUGGCCUUUUUUGUUCUUCUUUUAUGAUACAUGUUAAGAUCUUAAAUUAUGGGUAUAGUUGGAACAACCAUUGAUAGAUACUAAAAAUUCUUAGAAAUCUAGUGAUCCAUUCUGUUAUUUUUAAAAAGAAGAUCUAAUGGAUGAUAUUUAAUCAAUUGGUAGAUUACCAGGAAUGACAUCUGUUAUUUCACUCACUCUGAACCUUAGGACAAAGCUCCAUAAAUGAUUGUUGUUGAAUUAAGAAACGAGAAUUUAAUAUAGAAUAAAGCCACAUUUUAAAUUAAUGGAAACUGAUGGAUUUUUUCCUAGAAAAUAAUAUUGGCUAGUCAUACUUUCAUAUGUUAUACCACAGAAAAAUAUUUUUCGGGUGGAUGAAAGAGCCAAAUGUAAAGACAAGAACUAUAGGUGAAUUAGGAGAAAAUAAAGGAAACUCUCUCUGUAAGCCCAAUAUGGGGACAGUCUUCCUAAAAACUACACAAAAUGCAAAACCUAUAAGAGGAGAGAAAAUCAAAUUGGUUGACUUUACAAGAAAAUAUUUCUACAAAAUGAAUGAAAUCAUAGAUAACAAGAAAACACACAAAACAAUAUGGUAGAACAUAUUUACAAAACACAUAACUGUGUAAGGAAAGGCAAAGCAUACCACAGAAAACAAAUGUUAAGGGAUAUGAGUAGCUAAUCCACAGAGGGAGACACAAAUGGUCAGUUAGAACUUGAAGAUAUGCAACCUCCUCAGUAGCCAGGAAAACAAAGAUUUAAAAAAAUGACUUUGUUUCCAUCUUUUUCCAUUUCUCAUAUUUUUUUACUUUCCCUUCUUUCCUUUCCCCUACCCCUCCUACUCCCCCUACCCCUGACUCUUUAGACCUUUCCUUCCUAUCUCACAUUAUCAAUUAUACAUUUUGAUCCUAAUUUACACUUUUAGUAAAGUCUUUGUAAAGUCGGAGGGGUGGGUGGUUUGAAGGGAG
Molecule: long non-coding RNA, 3334 nt
Filed under: Heterocephalus glaber (naked mole-rat)
Lineage: Eukaryota; Metazoa; Chordata; Mammalia; Rodentia; Bathyergidae
Description: lncRNA (ENSHGLG00100034703.1)
Source: RNAcentral